This 590-nucleotide ribosomal RNA is filed under the name uncultured soil bacterium. RNAcentral's name for it is "bacterial SSU rRNA". It matches the Rfam family "Bacterial small subunit ribosomal RNA", at positions 33 to 616 of the family's 1533-position model. The record is from RNAcentral.
ACGCUAGCGGCAGGCUUAAUACAUGCAAGUCGUGGGGCAGCAUGGUGUAGCAAUACACUGAUGGCGACCGGCAAACGGGUGCGGAACACGUACGCAACCUUCCUUUAACUGGAGAAUAGCCCGGGGAAACCCGGAUUAAUACUCCGUAACCUUAUGAAGUGGCAUCACUUUAUAAUUAUAGCUCCGGCGGUUAAAGAUGGGCGUGCGUCUGAUUAGGUAGUUGGCGGGGUAACGGCCCACCAAGCCUACGAUCAGUAACUGGUGUGAGAGCACGACCAGUCACACGGGCACUGAGACACGGGCCCGACUCCUUCGGGAGGCAGCAGUAAGGAAUAUUGGUCAAUGGACGCAAGUCUGAACCAGCCAUGCCGCGUGGAGGAUGAAGGUCCUCUGGAUUGUAAACUUCUUUUAUUUGGGAAGAAACCACCGAUUUCUAUUGGUGUUGACGGUACCAGAUGAAUAAGCACCGGCUAACUCCGUGCCAGCAGCCGCGGUAAUACGGAGGGUGCAAGCGUUAUCCGGAUUCACUGGGUUUAAAGGGUGCGUAGGCGGGUUGGUAAGUCCGUGGUGAAAUCUCCAAGCUUAACUUG